Molecule: ribosomal RNA, 405 nt
Filed under: uncultured organism
Description: SSU rRNA
Rfam family: Bacterial small subunit ribosomal RNA
Source: RNAcentral
CCGCCAUGGCGCGGGAUUGUGCCAGCCGCCGCGGUAAUACGUAGGUGGCAAGCGUUGUCCGGAAUUAUUGGGCGUAAAGCGCGCGCAGGCGGUUCCUUAAGUCUGAUGUGAAAGCCCCCGGCUCAACCGGGGAGGGUCAUUGGAAACUGGGGAACUUGAGUKCAGAAGAGAAGAGUGGAAUUCCACGUGUAGCGGUGAAAUGCGUAGAGAUGUGGAGGAACACCAGUGGCGAAGGCGACUCUUUGGUCUGUAACUGACGCUGAGGCGCGAAAGCGUGGGGAGCAAACAGGAUUAGAUACCCUGGUAGUCCACGCCGUAAACGAUGAGUGCUAAGUGUUAGAGGGUUUCCGCCCUUUAGUGCUGCAGCAAACGCAUUAAGCACUCCGCCUGGGGAGUACGGCCGCA